Molecule: ribosomal RNA, 958 nt
Filed under: Candidatus Raymondbacteria bacterium RIFOXYB2_FULL_49_35
Lineage: Bacteria; Candidatus Raymondiibacteriota
Description: bacterial SSU rRNA
Rfam family: Bacterial small subunit ribosomal RNA
Source: RNAcentral
AGAGUUUGAUUCUGGCUCAGAACGAACACUGGCGGCGCGCCUAAUACAUGCAAGUCGAACGGGAAAGUGAGGUUCGCCUCACGAGUAUAGUGGCGACCGGGUGAGUAACGCGUUAGUAAUCUACCUUUCAGUUGGGGAUAACCUUGUUAAAACGGGGCUAAUACCGAAUAGCAUUCCGAUGCCGCAUGGCAUUGUGAUAAAAGGUGCGUAAGUACCGCUGGAAGAUGAACUUGCGUCCCAUUAGCUAGUUGGCGGGGUAAUGGCCCACCAAGGCGACGAUGGGUAGCCGGCCUGAGAGGGUGUACGGCCACAUUGGGACUGAGAUACGGCCCAGACUCCUACGGGAGGCAGCAGUAGGGAAUUUUGCGCAAUGGACGAAAGUCUGACGCAGCGACGCCGCGUGAGUGAUGAAGGUCUUCGGAUUGUAAAGCUCUUUUAGGAGGGAAGAACCUGCAGGUGAAUAAUCUGCACUGACGGUACCUCCAGAAAAAGCUCCGGCUAACUCUGUGCCAGCAGCCGCGGUAAUACAGGGGGAGCUAGUGUUGUUCGGAUUUACUGGGUGUAAAGGGAGCGUAGGCGGAAAUUUAAGUCAGGGGUGGAAUUUCGAGGCUCAACCUUGAACUUGCCUCUGAUACUGGAUUUCUAGAGUAUGGGAGAGGACGAUGGAAUUCCUGGUGUAGCGGUGGAAUGCGUAGAUAUCAGGAGGAACACCGAUGGCGAAGGCAGUCGUCUGGAACAAUACUGACGCUGAGGCUCGAAAGCAUGGGGAGCAAACAGGAUUAGAUACCCUGGUAGUCCAUGCCCUAAACUAUGGAUACUAGAUAUCGAAGGAAUCAAAUCUUUCGGUGUCGAAGCUAACGCAUUAAGUAUCCCACCUGGGGAGUACGGUCGCAAGUCUGAAACUCAAAGAAAUUGACGGGGGCCCGCACAAGCGGUGGAGCAUGUGGUUCAAUUCGAU